GAACGCUAGCGGGAGGCUACACAUGCUUACCGAGCGGUAGAGAUUCUUCGGAAUCUUGCAGAGCGGCGCACGGGUGCGGAACACUGUGUGCAACCUGCCUUUAUCUUGGGGGAUAGCCUUUCGAAACGGGAGAUUAAUACCCCAUAAUAUACUGAGUGGCAUCACUUAUUAUUGAAAACUCCGGUGGAUAGAGAUGGGCACGCGCAAGAUUAGAUAGUUGGUGAGGUAACGGCUCACCAAGUCAAUGAUCUUUAGGGGGCCUGAGAGGGUGAUCCCCCACACUGGUACUGAGACACGGACCAGACUCCUACGGGAGGCAGCAGUGAGGAAUAUUGGACAAUGGGUGAGAGCCUGAUCCAGCCAUCCCGCGUGAAGGACGACGGCCCUAUGGGUUGUAAACUUCUUUUGUACAGGGAUAAACCUCUCCACGUGUGGAAAGCUGAAGGUACUGUACGAAUAAGCACCGGCUAACUCCGUGCCAGACAGCCGCCGUGUAAUACGGAGGGUGCAAGCGUUAUCCGGAUUCUAUUUGGGUUUCAACAGGGUCCAGUAGGCAGGAUCUGUAAGGUCAGUGGUGAAAUCUCAUAGCCUUAAGCCAGU
RNAcentral lists this ribosomal RNA (600 nucleotides) under uncultured bacterium. RNAcentral's name for it is "bacterial SSU rRNA". It matches the Rfam family "Bacterial small subunit ribosomal RNA", at positions 31 to 618 of the family's 1533-position model. The record is from RNAcentral.